Long non-coding RNA from Amblyraja radiata (thorny skate), 447 nucleotides. RefSeq lists it as uncharacterized. The transcript has 2 exons. NCBI's taxonomy places the organism in Eukaryota, Metazoa, Chordata, Chondrichthyes, Rajiformes, Rajidae. The record is from RefSeq and is a predicted model, not a curated record.
CUGCAGACCAACAGUGGGGUAGUCGACGCUGAUGAGCCACCGGUGGGAGAAGAUUCACCUACACCAGAGCCAGCUCCACCAGUGACAACAUCACCCAGCAGAGAGGGCCCCACCACAGAGACUGUGCGGACCAGGUGUGGGAGAGAGGUUAGAAAGCCGAAGAGACUUGAUUGGUGAUUUAUUGAUUUGUUUUCUACAGUAAAGAAAAAGAGAGUGAAAUGUGAUUGUGAAAUUGUUCUGCUAAACCUGUUACAUUUACCUGAAACCUGAGAUAAUAGUUCACAGUAUGGUAACGCGUAAGUUAUUUUAUUUCUAUUUUGCAUGCUUGAAACAGGGACAGAUCAGGGACAGGUCUUCCAGCAAAAGGGCAGAAUAAACCCCUUAAGACCUGCAGAGACAAAGGUAGUCCACCCUUUGUUCUCAAAGAAAGGGAGAUGUGGUAUUAUG